UUGAUCUUCGUAUAAUCCUUCUUUAUUACCGCUAGUUAGUGGCCUUUUUAGUGUUUUUUUUUAAUACGUUGUGAGUCAUCGAGUGAAAGUCUAAUGCUUCCUUCUAGUGAAAUUAUUUUGUUACAAAUGGAAGAGCUUAGAAGUUUUGAUUCUGCAGCGCUAAAAAUAACAGAAAUAGUAUCAUAUACAUUUAAAUUCAACCUAGCUUUUCAAAGAAUCCUGUAGUCUCUACACCGGAGACACCAACAAGUGAACUAUUUAUAGCAAUUAUGCCACAAGGACAACUGCUACAAGACUUUCUUUUUGGUGAUCUUAUAUAAGGGAGAAGAGCGGAGCCAUACAUCCAAGAUGUCUGUAGUGUGAAGUGGUUCAAGUCUAUUGCAAGAAAACGACAAGAUAAAUAUACAGUACAGACAUUCACUUCGGAUAACCACAAGAAAAAUAAAAAUGUGAACAUUAUGUCUUGCAGCCAUGCCCUUGUGUUCCGUAACCCUAGUUCUAUACAGAUAUUGUUAUUUGUGUGUGGUCCAGUUCAUGGGUGAAUAUGGACGAGAAAUAAGAAGUGAACAUAGCAAUUAGGAAAAUGAACAAGAAAUAUGGGUGUGAACUAGGACGGUGGAGUUUCAAUACAAAGAUUACU
This is a long non-coding RNA of Biomphalaria glabrata, 640 nucleotides long. RefSeq lists it as uncharacterized. The record is from RefSeq and is a predicted model, not a curated record. NCBI's taxonomy places the organism in Eukaryota, Metazoa, Mollusca, Gastropoda, Planorbidae. The transcript is spliced from 3 exons.